Molecule: non-coding RNA, 3671 nt
Organism: Pelodiscus sinensis (Chinese soft-shelled turtle)
Lineage: Eukaryota; Metazoa; Chordata; Testudines; Trionychidae
Source: RefSeq, a predicted model, not a curated record
UCAAUAUAUGGCUGGAGGGAGCCGGAGUCAGUGUUUAGCAGUAGUGAAGAGUACCGCUGUAGAAACAGCUGAGUCAUCUUUACGCUGAGGCAGGAUAGCAUAAUGUUUGGCAAAGGUAUGGUCUGAAGACCAUGUUGCUGUCCGGUAAAUGUCUCUUAAGGGGACAUUGUUCAAAAAGGCUGUAGAAGCAGCCGUAGCUCGAGUGGAAUGUGCUUGUGGCACUUGACUAUGCUUGUUGAGAUCCACUUAGAGAUUCGUUGUGAUGAUAUGGGUGUUCCUUUGGAGUGCUCGGCGAUGGAGAUAAAAAGUCUUUCAGAUUUACGAAAUGGUUUUGUUCUUUCUAGGAAGAAAGCUAGAGCCCUCCGGAAGUCCAGAGUAUGCAGGCUGGCAUCCUUCUGUGAAGCGUGCGGUUUUGGGAAAAAGAAGGUUUAACUGUAAUGGAGAACUGCACCGUGACUGGAACAAAGGAGGUGAGGCCUGAUCUUGAGGACCAAGAAACUGUGGCAUGGAGGAAUGGGAUGCAUCAUUUUGUGAUUCCAUGGCAGGAGUGAUCUACUCCAAAAAUACCAUUUCUUUGCCCACGAGUACCUGGAACACAGUGGGGAAAAUAUUACAUGAAACUGAAAAAUAUCCCAAGUCAUUCUCAGAAGCUGCUGAAAAUUGUGUCUUUUGUUCUAUUCCAACAGAAUGGAACUGAACAGGCAGGGCUCAGCUUCACUCUCCCACCUCUGGUGCAGAGAUUUGCAGAAGCAGCUAUAUUAUCACAAUUGCAAAGUAAGGAAAAUCAAGAGAAGGAAAAACAGUUUUAUAUAUAAUUUUGUGCCCAAAUAUAGUCCCUUUGCUCCUUUGGCCAACAGUGACUUCAGUUUGUGAGGACCCCUAGAACUCUCUCACAGCAACUACAGUAAGAGGCAAUUCUAGCUCACUUUGUUUUAGAGAAUCACUAUUAGAAAGGAAGCUGAAAACUCUCAAGCAAACAAGCAAAAGAGAUGCAAACAGAAGAGGAGAUAAAUCCACAACAAAAGAUAUACUAAAACCAGAAAUUUUUCUGUUUUUGUUUUGAGGAAAAGCGUACAAUGGGAAAUAAACCUAUGCAGAAGAACAGGUCGCUUAAUUUUACACGGAAGACUAGUUUGUUUUUUAAAAAAGGAAUGUGUGUCAUAAGUGUCAAACAUUUGAAAAAUCUCCAUUCACCUGGUGCACACUUGCCAGAAGGAAGGGAAAUUUUUUUCUCUAUUAUCAAUGGUGUUUAACUCUUGCUGUGGAUUGUAUAUACUGUGUGUGUGUUAACGGCCACCAUGGAACACAUGCCAUAAUUAAAAAUGAAAUUCUGCCCUCUCAGCUGAUUUUAACUCAUCACCAUCAAACUCAGGUUAAGUGAAUACAUUAGUUCCUUACAGCAUAAUAUGAGGAUCUUUCAUUAUUAUUUUAAUUUAUCACUGUCACUCAAUUACUUAUAAGUGAAUUUAUCCAUCAGUUCUAAAAUGUGGCAGAAGGCUGCCCCUUUGUUUUUCAUACAGGUUGGACCUCUCUUCUCCGGCACCCUGGACCUGGAUGGAGGAAUUUGCCGGACAAGGGGAGGUCCCCUGAUACCAUCCCCUCAGCCUGCUGCCCCCUCCCCGCUGCCAGCUUCUUCAGCGCAGUUGGGCUGUCUGCAGAUCUGCCCCAGCUCCACUCCCGGGCACAUGUAGACCCACUGCCGAAUGGCAGGUUGUUUGAUCGGCCUGUCGCAGCCUCAGCCUCGCUGCUAUGUGACCCUGGCUGUGCUGAUUCUGCCAGGCUGCUGGAGCCAGCUUCCUUUCCCAGGCUGCAACCCUGGCCCUAAUGCCUGACAGCAGGCAGCCCCAAUCAUGCUACUGCCGCUACUGCCCAGGCUGCUGGGGUCCCACUGCUAGUAGACUGGCAGGGUUGCACCGGACUCCCAAGCUGCUGGCCCUCCUGCCCCGGUGCUCUCUCAUGCAGGAAUAUCCAUGGUUAUGCUGGACCACACAUUGCCAGACGAGAGAAUCCCAGAUUUGGGAGGUGCAACCUGUACUGAAGUAAAAUGCACUAGAGUGCACAAUUUCUAGGCAUUCACAUCCUGCCAUAAAGAGAUAACAGAAUUUAUAUCUUUUUAAAAUAUUGAUCAUACAUUCUGAAGUACUGAAAAGCAAUUCUACACAUAUACAUUUAAAUAUUUUUAUGGAUUUAAUUCUUAAUUGUUAACCUUUGAACAAGAAAUUCAUUAAUGAAAUGUUUCACCAUUUUUCAUGGCAACUUGCAUAGUAGUACAGCAGACUCUUGGAGUUACAAACACCAGAGUUACAAACAGGCGUUAACCACUAGGGAUGUGAACGUGUACCAUGCACAUGGUUAAACGAUGCACCUGGGCGCGUAACUAUAUAACUGCUGAAUUUUUCAGCAGUUACACCUAAAUAAAUGCUUUAGUAUUGCUAAAUAAAUGUUUUAGUAUUCCUAUUAACCACGAGUCAUUUGGAAAUGAAAGCAUGCAAUCAGGAAGCAGCAGAAACAAAAAAAGCAAAUACAAGUACAGUGUUGUGUGCAACAUAAGCUACUAAAAAUAAAAGGAACACUUAAAAAGAUUUGAUAAGGUAAGGAAACAGUUUCUGUGCUUGUUUAAUUAAAAUUAAGAUGGUUAAAAGCAGCUUUUUUCUUCGGCCAAGUAAUAUCUCAAAGCUGCAUUAAGUCAAUGCUCAGUUGUAAAUCACAUCCUUACUAUUUGUGGCAGAAGGAAGGAGGAUGUGCUCUACCCUUUGUGUGCCUUCUUAAAUCUCUCCAGAUAGGGGAUCAAAAUCAAAGUCACAAAUCUGAAGACAUUAAGGGAAAAAUACUCCUGCAGUCCCACUAAGGGGAUGUAUUUGGCAAGUUUAAAGUGCUUCAGUAGUCUAGCGCCAACUCUGGGGGUAUGGGGAAAUUGCUCUACAACAGACCUCAGAGGCCCAGCACUCUCCUCUGGGUCAGGGUUCAGUCUACCAUUUCAGAUGCGACUCCUGUAGUCUGCUGCUUAGGGAAAUCCUGCUUUCCCUCCCCGCUAGGUGACUGCAGUUUAAAGGCUUUCUCAUCAUGAGUGACUGACGGGGCAGGAGAGGUGGGGUUAGUCUCAUCUGUGGAGUCCUCUGAGGAUACAAAUGUUUACCUGUGGAUGUAGAUGGACACUGGGAUCCUCUGAUCCACAGGGUUCUAUUUCCAAGACACACAGAGGUAAACAGAGAGGAAUGGUCCUGUUGCUCCUAAGAGCCAGAAUCCUAUGCUGGCAGUCUAGCUGUACCACCCUCAGACCCAGCCUCUCCUUUCUGGAGUUGUAGUGCGCUGCUGGCAGUGGGGCUGGGAGGUACAACUGCACUAUGGGGAUGAGCUGCCGGUGCAGGGCACUGGCUCUUGGGAAUAACAGGACCAUGUUCUUCUUCCUUGCAGCCAGUGUCUCUUGCGUGGGGUGGCAGCAGUUAUGUCCAGGGGUGGGGGUGGGGUUGGGUCUGAGCUCCUGGACCCAGAGCAAGCCAGGACUGAGCCAGGAUACCUGCCCGCCUGGCUCCUAAUACACUUUAAAUGCAGAGCUACAGCAGGAGUAGGUCCCAGAUCCGAUGCAAGCUGGGUCUAAUUUAUGCUGCUGGUCAGCUGGCAAAAAAUGUACUGGCAAGGGAGGGGAAAGAAAAUGUGUUUAGUCUGUAGCA